This is a long non-coding RNA of Aphidius gifuensis, 234 nucleotides long. RefSeq lists it as uncharacterized. NCBI's taxonomy places the organism in Eukaryota, Metazoa, Arthropoda, Insecta, Hymenoptera, Braconidae. The transcript has 3 exons. The record is from RefSeq and is a predicted model, not a curated record.
GAGAUAUUUGAUAGGUGUUUAGAAAAAACCAAUGACAAUCCCCAACUUCAGGAAAUAUUUUAUGAAAGUCAAGUAUCACUUUUUCUAUUCAUUUGUCAACGUAAAGAAUUAAAAAUUUGUUUUCUUGAAAAAUAUUUAAACGAGGCAUUGAAUAAAUAUCCUGAUAAUUUUUAUUUACUUUCUGUAUUUGCUAGUAUUGAGUCUGAAAUGCCAAAUUGGAAUAUUGGUAUAAAA